AUUAAUUUUCUGCAUAUAUAAUUAACCAUGAACGACUACAUAUUUUACGUGGCAAUGGUAGUGGUUCAGUUAGCAUAUGGUGGUUCAAACAUUCUCAUCAAAAUUUCGCUUGACAAGGGACUCAAUAAACUUGUUUUUGUGGUCUAUAGGCAUUUAAUUGCCACGCUUUUGCUAGGACCCAUUGCUUAUGUGCUUGAAAGGAAUCAGCGGCCUUCACUGUCAUUUUCAGUAAUUUCAAAGAUUUUUGUGCUUUCAUUCGUUAGGACUACAGUCCAUCUGAACGUGUACUAUGCUGGUUUAGCAUAUACUUCUGCAACUGUCGCAAGUGCCCUGAGCAAUGUUUCCCCAAGUUUGACAUUUCUCAUUGCACUUCUGCUUCGGAUGGAGAAAGUGAAUAUUGCAAAUAUGAGAAGUCAAGCAAAGGUGUUGGGAACAGUAGUUUGCGUAGGUGGAUCUCUUGUUUUUACAUUCUGGAAAGGAGGACACCUUUUGAAAGGUUUUGUGGAAAAACCACUCAUAAACAUCCAAGCUGGAUCUGUAGGUGGUUUUAAGCAUACUAAACAAGACUGGAUCAAGGGCUCAGCUCUUAUUCUCAUUAUCCACAUUGCAUGGAGUGGAUGGUUAAUUCUCCAGGCUCUAGUCUCAAAAGUGUACCCGGCACCCUUAUCACUGACAACUAUGAUCUGCUUCUUCGCUUCACUGCAAUCUUCUCUACUUGCCCUGUUUUUUGGAAGAACACCCACUUCAUGGAAGUUGGAAUGGGAUGUGAAUCUUUUAACCGUCGUUUACAGUCUCUGUUAUACUAUCUGCAAACAUGGUGCAUUAGCUACAAAGGUCCAGUUUUUGCUGCAAUGUUUAGUCCACUAAUACUAAUUUUUGUGGCAAUAUCCUCGGCAAUUGCUUUUGCAGAGAGACUUCAUCUCGGAAGGUGGGCUGAAGAUGAUUACAUCAUAAUAACUUAAUUGGAGCGAUUCUCAUCGUUGUGGGACUGAAUUUUGUACUGUGGGGCAAAAGGGCAGAUAAUAAUAUGGUGGUUGGACAGUCGGAUCAGAUUGGAA
RNA transcript from Ziziphus jujuba (common jujube), 1058 nucleotides. It is a transcript of the gene named WAT1-related protein At2g39510, with no coding region annotated. Lineage: Eukaryota; Viridiplantae; Streptophyta; Magnoliopsida; Rosales; Rhamnaceae. The transcript has 6 exons. The record is from RefSeq and is a predicted model, not a curated record.